UUUAAAUAGAUCAUGUGUUGGUUUGUGCGUUCAUUGCUUACAACAUACUAGAUGAUUUAGUGUAUAGAGUUUAGCUUAUACACGAAAGAUUAAAUCAUCAAUUUUUGUAAGACAUAAAAGUUAAUAUUCACAGUCUAAUGAUGGAAUUGAACAAAUCAUCGGAUUGAUUGUAGCAUAAGAUUAAAUAUAAUGUAUCUUGAUUAUGGGAAUGAUUUAAUUCCAACUUCUUGUGCUAAUACAUUUUGUAUGUAUUGAAUGGAUCAAGUAGAGAUGAGUAUUUUAUACUGAC
Molecule: long non-coding RNA, 289 nt
Filed under: Nicotiana benthamiana
Lineage: Eukaryota; Viridiplantae; Streptophyta; Magnoliopsida; Solanales; Solanaceae
Description: long non-coding RNA (NBEN_LNC001926)
Source: RNAcentral